UCACUGGUGGUCUAGUUGGAGGAUCCCACGCUCUCACCGCUGAGGCCCGGGUUCAAAUCCCGGGCAGGGAA
Pangasianodon gigas (Mekong giant catfish) is the source of this 71-nucleotide non-coding RNA. Lineage: Eukaryota; Metazoa; Chordata; Actinopteri; Siluriformes; Pangasiidae. The record is from the annotation of a GenBank genome assembly.